GUUCUUUCUCACACUUUAUGGACUGGUGGAAUCUCACUUUUUGGAUAAGAAAUUUUUUUAUGUUGUUGCUAUUCAUUUGUAGUUGUGAUCUGUUUUGGUUAUUUACUUACUGUAACACAAGUAUUAGCACACAUGUUGCAAUGCAUGAAUGCCCUUUCUGAUAUUUGGAAUAGAAGCUGGGUGCAGUUGUAUUGAGCUUUUGUUUCCUUGUGAUGUUUUAAUGGAUUUGGCUGUCACCUCUGUUUGGUUACUCUGCUUCUUGAGCCAUUUGGAUGUUUACAAGUUUUCCCCCUUCUCUGUAUCUUUCUUUUGGGGUUUCUCUUGCAUUCUUUUCCUGUACUUGGGUUGUGUUCUCUGUUAUUGCCCUACUUUUAUUAUUGAAGAAAUUUGC
Molecule: unclassified non-coding RNA, 391 nt
Filed under: Hevea brasiliensis (rubber tree)
Lineage: Eukaryota; Viridiplantae; Streptophyta; Magnoliopsida; Malpighiales; Euphorbiaceae
Source: RNAcentral